UCUGUGAAAUACUCUAAACUAUAAGCAUGCAUAGUGGCGGGAAGCCAAGAACGAGCCUUUCCCCUGCUAGAAAUCCGAUAAUGAAGCUUAUCAAUCCGGUGGAUCCACCCACACAACCUGUCCCCCAUCAUUGAAAUCGGCGCUUCUUCUACCCAAAAGAAUUGGAACCCAGAUCAAAAUUUGCUUUGACAAACGAAUAAAAGGAGGAGACCAGUGAACCUCGUAUGAUUUUUGUUGGGGUUGUAAUUUGUCACAUUUGCUUGUAUAAGUUUCUGAUAGCAAUAGGAGGAAUUGUAUCUGCUUUUGACUGUGUGCAUUCUCGGUUGUCUCCUUGAUGAUUCCUUGGAAUACAGUCGGCUUCACCUGCACUAACAAUGGUGCGAAUUCCAGUUGUUACGAUUGUAUCAAAUCAGAAGCCCAUACAAUGUUAUUAAUGCUUGGAGAUUGAAUUUUGUAA
Gossypium arboreum is the source of this 457-nucleotide long non-coding RNA. RefSeq lists it as uncharacterized. The record is from RefSeq and is a predicted model, not a curated record. The transcript is spliced from 2 exons. NCBI's taxonomy places the organism in Eukaryota, Viridiplantae, Streptophyta, Magnoliopsida, Malvales, Malvaceae.